UACAGAGGGUGCGAGCGUUAAUCGGAGUUACUGGGCGUAAAGGGCGCGUAGGCGGUUAAUUAAGUUGGAUGUGAAAUCCCUGGGCUUAACCUAGGAAUGGCAUACAAAACUGGUUGACUGGAGUACUGUAGAGGGUAGUGGAAUUUCCGGUGUAGCGGUGAAAUGCGUAGAGAUCGGAAGGAACACCAGUGGCGAAGGCGGCUACCUGGACAGAUACUGACGCUGAGGCGCGAGAGCGUGGGGAGCAAACAGG
Molecule: ribosomal RNA, 253 nt
Filed under: uncultured bacterium
Lineage: Bacteria
Description: partial 16S ribosomal RNA
Rfam family: Bacterial small subunit ribosomal RNA
Source: RNAcentral